This 1024-nucleotide long non-coding RNA is filed under the name Amborella trichopoda. RNAcentral's name for it is "long non-coding RNA (ATRI_LNC002516)". The record is from RNAcentral. Lineage: Eukaryota; Viridiplantae; Streptophyta; Magnoliopsida; Amborellales; Amborellaceae.
CUCUCUCGCAAUCCUCUGCAUCCUACUUUCUCACAAAGUCUAAAAUAAUAUUUCAUUUGAGUUUGCCGCAAGGUUGAAACCACAAAAAACCAGGCAAAUAAUAAAACCGUCACCCUUAUGUCUCUCUGCGUCUUGUAUUCUCACAAAGCCCCUGCCCCUCUCUCGCAAUCCUCUGCAUCCUACCUUCUCACAAAGUCUGAAAUAAUAUUUCAUUUGAGUUUGCUGCAGGAUUGAAAUCACCAAAAACCAAACAAAUAAUAAAACUGUCACCCUUAUGUCUCUUUGCGUUCUGUGUUCUCACAAAGUCCCUGCCCCUCUCUCGCAAUCCUCUACGUCCUACCUUCUCAUAAAGUCUGAAAUAAUAUUUCAUUUGAGUUUGCCGCAGGGUUGAAACCACAAAAAACCAGACAAAUAAUAAAACCGUCACCCUUAUGUCUCUCUGCGUCCUGUGUUCUCACAAAGCCCCUGCCCCUCUCUCGCAAUCCUCUGCAUCCUACCUUCUCACAAAGUCUGUCAAAGCUCUGCCUUCUCACAAAGCCCUCUUGCCACCCUUGCCCCUCUCUUGCAAUUCUCUAUGUCUUACCUUCUCACAAAGCCCUGCCCCUCUCUCAAAGCCUUGCUUGCUCUCUCUGAAAGCCUCCCUUACCUCUCUCUCAACCCUCUAUGCCCUUCCUUCUCACAGAUCCACAAGCUGAGGCUGUUGAUGACUCCAUGAGAUUGUUGUUUUUUUUUUUUUUUUUUGUGUUGGGUAUAGAAAUUAUAUUUGAACCUGUCAAAAAAAUCUUGGGUACUGGUUUUUACUGUUUUAUUUUUCUUGGUUUUUGCUUUUAGAUUUUUAUUCCCCCAUGGAAGCAGCUUUUUUUUUAUAGAAUACUUUUGACUUCCUAGUUCUAUUGCAAUAAGAUCCCAAUAGGGAAAAAAUCAAGAUUUAUUUGUUUUGUGCAGUAAUUCGAUUAAAACUCACUUUGUAUUUAUAUUUAUUGGAUUGGUCAAUGGAUAAUGAUCAAGUGGAGCUGGCUCUGCA